This is a non-coding RNA of Camellia sinensis, 1286 nucleotides long. The record is from RefSeq and is a predicted model, not a curated record. NCBI's taxonomy places the organism in Eukaryota, Viridiplantae, Streptophyta, Magnoliopsida, Ericales, Theaceae.
UGCUAUUUAACUUAUUAAAAAGCCUUGUUUUUACUAUAACUCUGUUGGGUUCUAUGUCAGUUUCAUUGCUGAUAUGAACAAUUAAGAUUACUGGACAAUGUGUUACUGUCAACGUAGCUAGAGUUCUAACCAGCUGAAGCUAGCAGAUGCUAUUUUUUAUUUCAAAUCAACUUAAGGAUGGUCGGACCGUGGCAAUGCAUUUUUCUAUUGGUUAAAUGGUGGAUCAUCAAUCUUACAUGACAAUAAUAUUCUCUGUUGUAGGCAAUGUGAGAUAUGUGGUUCUCGAACAAUAUAGAGCUGCCAAGGUGGCACUAAAACAGCAUAUGCAUAAAUCAUCUUUUUAGAGGGAACAAGGUUUGAUGAACCAAGAUGUUGAUUAUGGAUGUUCUAAUGAAAUUCAGCUGUGAGCUUGCUUAUUGACGUUGAAGUUUGUCUGAAGUAGUCACUCAAGAAUAAUGUGGAGCACUCCCCAGUAGCACAAGUGACCUUUACAUACUUGUGAACUAUCCAUAAGCAACUCCAGAUCCACAACACUAUCUAGGAGUCCCGGAAGCACCAGAAUACUUGCAUGUUGCUGUUGGAGGCGGUGAAGCUGUAAUAUCUACUCACAUAGUUCUCGCAUCCUAAUCAUCUCUAGCAUAUAUGUGGUUCUCGAACAAUAUAGAGCUGCUAAGGUGGCACUGAAACAGCAUAUGCAUAAAUCAUCUUUUUAGAGGGAACAAGGUUUGAUGAACCAAGAUGUUGAUUAUGGAUGUUCUAAAGAAAUUCAGCUGUGAGCUUGCUUAUUGGUGUGUUUAUCUACUUGAUGCUUGGUUUAUUUGUCUACUCACCAGGGUGUUUUUGGCAAGAGCCUUGUAAGUGCAGCUAAUUAGUGGCAUAAUAAAAAGACAAUUUGCCAAACUGUAUGAACCAACAACACUUUAUAAUAUUAAAUCUAUGUAUAUACUUAAUUUGGAUGAGAAGGAAUAGUUACAGUUUAAAAUGGUCAAGAGAACAACAGAUUAAUAUCAUUCUUGAAAGUCGAAUGAAUAUUUUAAAAUGAAUAAAUCUACGGAUCACCACUGAGCUUCCGCUGUCAUUAUGUCCUGCAAAGAAGUUAUAAAAGGUAAGUGAUACUUUUGAUUUGACUAAUAUAAUUAUUUAGUCAGAAGGAGAACAAAUGCAAGUGUUUCAUGUGCAAAUUUUAAUAUUUUUAGAAAUUUCCAAAUUUAGAUUAAAAAAGAACUUUUAUUUAAAGAAUAACUUUGUAAUUUCAUUUUUGGAGAGUUGUGUGUGAAUGUUUAAUU